AUGACUGCUAUCCUGCUACUCAACAUAGCCUGCCUUCUUAGUUUCUGCCUGCCUUUGGCAGAGCCGUGUAAGUUGGCCAUCCAACCCAAGGCACCGAUUGUGGAAUUUGGGGGCUCUGUAAAACUCAACUGUACAUCCACCUGCACCAACUACACUAAAGUGGACUGGGAGGUGUCGUUUGCACGAGAUGUCAAGGAAGGAGAAGGGUGGAUUUCUCUGAACAUCAAGAACGUGACAGAAUGGACCACUCAACCAUUGUGUGUGGCUAGAUACAAGGAAUCAGACUCCAUCCACACCAGGGCAGUAAUCUAUGUUUACCAAUUCUCAACCCCAGAUAUCUACCUGGCUUCUGAGAUUGAGAGCGGUCGCUUGGACAAAAUAAUCUGCAACAUUUCUAGCCUGCGGGUGAGAGAUGAAAUCUCACCUAAGGUCAGCAUCUCCCUCAGCAGAGGUGCAACUCUCCUGAAUAGCAGCUAUGGUGAACCUUCAUUGGAAUACAGUUUUGUGGCCAGCCUUAAUCGAGACGAUGGGGCUGCGAUCAUUUGUAUGGCCUGGGUCGAGGUGGGCUCAGAGGUGUUGAAUAAGAGUGCAACAAGGACCUUGAAUAUUGUGGCAAGCCCUUACAAUGUCAGUGUCUCUGCAAAUCCCAUGAUGUACAAAGCCGAUGUCAAGAUUGUGGUGAAGUGCAAGGCUGAAGGAAAACCCUUCCCAGAGUUUUCGUGCAUCUUCUCUCCAACAGCAGUGUGGAGUUCUCUAGCAACAUCCAGAUUUAACAUCGAAUUCAGCUCAAAGCUUCCAUAA
This 801-nucleotide long non-coding RNA is filed under the name Anolis carolinensis (green anole). RNAcentral describes it as "lncRNA (ENSACAG00000039428.1)". Lineage: Eukaryota; Metazoa; Chordata; Lepidosauria; Squamata; Anolidae. The record is from RNAcentral.